UUCGAUUCGAGCGCAGCGAGAAAACGUUGCCGCAGGCAACGACCCGAAGGGUGAGGAGCGGAGCGACGAAUAAUCCUUCCCCCACCACCA
This 90-nucleotide small RNA is filed under the name Salmonella enterica. RNAcentral describes it as "partial RtT sRNA". It matches the Rfam family "RtT RNA", at positions 42 to 130 of the family's 130-position model. From Rfam's summary of the family: This family represents a bacterial cis-regulatory element known as RtT RNA. The record is from RNAcentral. RNAcentral also lists the same sequence under 1 other name. Lineage: Bacteria; Pseudomonadati; Pseudomonadota; Gammaproteobacteria; Enterobacterales; Enterobacteriaceae.